UACAGAGGUGGCAAGCGUUGUUCGGAAUUACUGGGCGUAAAGGGCGCGUAGGCGGCCUUCUAAGUCAGACGUGAAAUCCCCCGGCUUAACCUGGGAACUGCGUCUGAUACUGGAAGGCUUGAGUGCGGGAGAGGGAUGUGGAAUUCCAGGUGUAGCGGUGAAAUGCGUAGAUAUCAGGAGGAACACCCGAGGCGAAGGCGGCUCUCUGGGUCGUACCUGACGCUGAGGCGCGAAAGCGUGGGGAGCGAACGGG
RNAcentral lists this ribosomal RNA (253 nucleotides) under uncultured bacterium. Its description in RNAcentral is "partial 16S ribosomal RNA". It matches the Rfam family "Bacterial small subunit ribosomal RNA", at positions 524 to 776 of the family's 1533-position model. The record is from RNAcentral.